AUCCAGCCGACGAGUCCCAAAAAUAGGACGAAACGCACGUGCUGGAU
RNAcentral lists this non-coding RNA (47 nucleotides) under Schistosoma mansoni. Lineage: Eukaryota; Metazoa; Platyhelminthes; Trematoda; Strigeidida; Schistosomatidae. The record is from RNAcentral.